GCCAACAAUGUGGUCCUUGCAGGUCAGAGAGCACAGCUGCUUUUACUGCAGACCUGCAGGACCAGGCAAGGCUGUAAGAAUCUUGUGACUUCCCUACACCACCAGACUCCCCACAGCUCUGUCUGCCUGGACUUCUGGUUAUAAAACAGACACGGCAGAUGGCGAGGCAGACAAGCCACAGGGAGGGCAUCCUGUGGACCCUGCGGGCCGCUUCCGACUGACUUCCUCAUCUGAAGGUCACAGUCCAUCGCUGAGGGAAGUUGGGACAGGAAGCAGGAAGUGAGACAGAAGCCACUGAAGAAUGCUGCUUGCUGACUUACUCAUAGGCUCAUGCUUAGCUAAAGUCAACACAGCCCAGGACCAUUUGCCCAGGGAACGUGCUGCCCACAGUGCGGAGCUCCUUGCUACAUCAAUUGGCGUUCAGAAGCAUGCCCCACAGGCACAGGCACAAGCCAAUGUGAUGUGGACAGUCCCUCAACCGAGCCUCUUCAGUUGGCUACAAGCCAUGUCACAUUGAUAGUGAGGUCCUCUGGAACUCACUAAAUCAUGACUCGAGGAAUAAGAGGGACACAGGUAUCGAAGACAGUCAAGAAGAAAAACAGGACGAAAAUAUUCUGCAAAAAGUGAGAACAAGAGGAGAAAGCAAACUUCCCUACUAAAAUCUAUUUUAAACAUGUGCAACUAAAUUACGACAUUAGAUAAUACAAAUGGACAGCCAAUUACCUCAUAAAAACACCUAUACUCUAACUGCCUGAAAAACUCAGUGUUUGGAGGAAAUGCUCUAAGGCAUUUAUGGCAUGGAUUUAUAUAUUUACAAAUAAAAUAACCAACUAUCAUUUAAAUUCUCUAUUUUCCUCCACUAAUCUCCCCCCACCCCAAUUCAGCACAGGCCAGGCAUUUACCCGGACAACUGCCAUAAUGGUGGGAUUCGGCCACCACUGACAGGAAUGUCUCUUGGAAACAUGCCGUGCACUUCACAUGGAGAUCUUGAGCCAAGCCACAGCUCUAUGGAAUACUUAUUUAUCCGUCCCCAUGGUACGGAGACUGCAGAGUCUCAGUGACAGUGGGGUCCCCAUACAAGCGGCCACCCCCGUUGCUGCCCAAGGAGGAUCUACUGUAUCUGGUAGCAAAUGUAGCCACAAGAGAAGACGUUGAGUUCAGCCUGGACCUCGCUCCUAUGGGAGAUACUGUGACCGAGGAGAGAGGCUGCUGGGAAGUGUGGAUCAGAGAAUCUGUUACUUGAAAUACGUUACAGUUUGUUUCUUUUGCAAUGGGAAAAUAUGUCAUUUUAAACAGGAGAAUGUCAAAUAACACUUUGCAGAAGACUACAACUUUUUUGAAUAAAAUGACUAAUGAGCAGAGGAAAGAAAUAGUUCCAAAUAUCUGUUCAAAGGACAAAACACAACAUAUUCUAUAGUACUUUCUGGUUGCAUCACGUCCGAAACCUCUUUUUUAGGAUGAAGGUUUUUUUUGCGACAGGGUUUCAUGUAGCCCCAAGCUAGCCUUGAAGUCAUUCUAGAGCUGAGGAUGACACUCAGCUCCUGGUCCUCCUACAUCUACCCCUUAAGUUAUGGGACAACAAGGGGUUCCCCACAAAGCCCAGCAUGUUUCUGAAGUCUUAACUGAACAGAAAGAAACCUUCACGUGGUGACGACUGGUGAUUCUCAAAGGUGUUUCUCCAACCCCAGCUUCCUCUCACCUCAACUUCUGACUCAUAUUCAAAUCCUUACCUUACAUCUCUAGGGUGUCUAAUUCACAUCUCAAACCAAGGAUAGACAAAACCAAACAAUUCCUCCUACUCCUGUUCUCUGUCUCUGUCUCUCUCAUACACACACACACACACUUCUGGCACAAAAAAAGGCUGAGUCAUUUAUGACUUUUCUUUUUCUCAUGUGCCCAUGAAAUCCAGACAAACCUGUUUUCUAAAUAUGUGCAGAUUCACCCUGAGCCAGAGCCACACGGUCCCCUUUUGCUCACAGUGGAGGUCAGGUCAGAGUCUCUGCUAUGGAGACAACCAUCCUGGCCUCACCUCCGUCUCCUCCACUCCACCUCAGCUCCCUUAAAACAGUGAAUCUACAAAACGUAGUCUAGUCCUGUUCUGUCGGAAAGGUGAUUCCCACUCCCCUCUCCCAGGCUCCCGUUUAACCCAGUAGUGUUUCCGUGUCCCAAAUAGACUAACAACAAGGAAACACCAGAUUCCCCACCUCAGAACCUGCUUCCAUGAGACGUUUACCUGAGGGAGAGGGGAUGGUACGCCAAAGGCCAUACACCGUGGACAUGAAGUGUCAGCACAUUGGUGGCCACCUGGAACCUUAACCGGCUUCAGGACACCUCAGACUCACCCCUUUUCAGACUGGAAAUGGGGAGAAUCGCCCUUCAGCUGCCUGAUGCCCUCUGACUGUGGACUGCCCUGUUGUGCCUCCAGCCAGACUCUAGGCUGUAUGUAGACAACAGAUCCUGAGACACAAGCAGGAAGUUGGUAGAGAAGCUGAAGGGGAAUGUUCUGGAAUGGAACAGACAGGGCUGGUUCUCACCUUAGUGGUAGGGAUUAGGUGAGUUAGGAUUCAAGCUACUUUGUAUGAUAACUAAUACUACUCGGGCAAAUGCUUUUAAAGACACAAGCAAAUCAAUCUCACCACAGGUGCCCAAACCCCAGGCCCAGCAAGCACAUCUGAAAAGGAUUCAGUUUUGUAAACUUUCAGUUUUCUCUGGGAGUGCAUUGCCUAACACAGCAAGAACUGACUAUAGGCAUGACAGUCAGGCAGAAAUGAUAACUUUUCUCAUACUAAAGGUAACAAGGGACAAAAAGAAGCAGACCACACAGCAUAAACCCGACAUGCGUGGAUCGGCAGCUAAGGCAGUGACCUAGCUUCUCAGGACAAAGGAGCGAGCGCAUCCUGUCAGCCUGUGUCCUACGUGGUUCAAACCCUCGUUUAGGGGUCAGAACACUGAUGUUCUAGAUCACACCCUACAUAAACCAGUCCAAUGCCACCCCUUGAGGGUGGACGUCAUAGUGAAUAAGCAAUGAGAUUUCAGACAAGACAUCCUGCUCACCAAUAUCCUAACAAGAAGAAGGACUGGAUGCCAGGGGUCAAGACCCUGCACCCAUCCCUAGUCCUUGUGGCCGUUGAACACAUUUCAUUCGGCAACUGAAAUAUUUCUGUGCUAACACGGGAAACAGCGAGGCCAGUGAGAUGACUCAGCGGGCAAAGGACCGGCUGCCAAGCCUGAGUCCUAAAUUCAAUCUCCAGGACCCAAUCGGCCUGAGGAGAGAGCCAGCUACCGUGAGUUGUCCUCUGGCCGCCACACAAGCCCAUACGCAUGCAGGCAUACAAACCAGACACAGUGUAAUAUUUAACCACAUAGGGGAUAUCUAGAGUCUGAAGCAGUGAAAACAUCUUACUCUCCUUUCUUAUGUGGGUGUGCAUCCGUACAAGCACACGCGUUAAUGUGCACAUGUGAAGGCCACGGGUCAAAUGUGUGUGUCCUUUCUCGGGUACCGUCUGCCUUAUUUCGUGAGGCUAAGCUGACUGGCCAGUGUGCCCCGGGGAAGGCCUAUCUCCACCCCCAUAGCACUGAGAUUACAAGUGUGCGCCAUCAUACCCAGCUACGUAUACAUGGAUUCUAAAGACUGAAUUCAGGGUUCUCUGAUUGAGCUAUGUCACAAGCCUGACACUUCAUGUUUCUUCCACGGGAUUUUUCGUUUGUAAUUGAAACCUGGUGUUAGGCUGAAAGCUCCAUGAAGACAGCCACCUCCACCCUUCAUUAAAGUUAUAUCUCCAGCAGCAUGCAGGGGGCCUGACCAUACGCGGUCAACACCGUUGAAUAUGUUAUGAAUUUAAAAAGUGAAGAGAUUCCACAUAGCUAAUAAACUAUAAAAUAGGUUUUUGUAAAUGAACAGAUUGUGUUUUAUAUUGUAUUUAUGGACUAUCCACAAUGCAUUAGAGAUUCAUCAAUAUUUCACCAUAUUUUUAAUAGUACUAUAAGUUUCCUCCAUUUACAUUAGCGUCUGGCCAUGGAAGUCAAGUAAAUUCUCCAUGUUCAUUUAGCAUCCAAGUGCUAAUUAUCAUCUCAUUGUCUACAAUUUUCAUUACACUAUGUUUUGCACCUUCUUGCCUACUUGAGAAACAAAAUUUUAAGUCUUGCUUGUGCUUAAAUGGCUGCUGUCUUUUUAUUCUAAGAUAAAGGCAUUUCUGAAACGCUUGGAAUGUGGCUUAGUCCAGCAGGUCUUUAUUAUCAGUACAUACAAAAGAAGAAUAAUUCCAUUACCUGGAUGAAGCUCACUCCUCACUCCUUCUUUAGUGUACUGAACAAAACUUGCAGCUAAUGGAAAAGAAAAAAGACCCAAUUAACAACUGCUCCUCAUGGCCGCUUGUUCAAGUUUAUCGUUUUCUACCUGGAAUAAAUGAGAGUUCUAAA
Molecule: long non-coding RNA, 4419 nt
Organism: Mesocricetus auratus (golden hamster)
Lineage: Eukaryota; Metazoa; Chordata; Mammalia; Rodentia; Cricetidae
Exons: 4
Source: RefSeq, a predicted model, not a curated record